Molecule: ribosomal RNA, 482 nt
Filed under: uncultured bacterium
Lineage: Bacteria
Description: partial 16S ribosomal RNA
Rfam family: Bacterial small subunit ribosomal RNA
Source: RNAcentral
AUUGAACGCUGGCGGCAUGCCUUACACAUGCAAGUCGAACGGGAACGGGCCUUCGGGUGCCGACGAGUGGCGAACGGGUGUGUAAUACAUCGGAACGUGCCCGCUCGUGGGGGAUAACGAGGCGAAAGCUUUGCUAAUACCGCAUACGAUCUACGGAUGAACGCAGGGGCACGCAAGGCCUUGCGCGGGCGGAGCGGCCGAUGGCAGAUUAGGUAGGUGGUGCGAUACAAGCUUACCAAGGCGACGAACGGUAGCUGGUAUGAGAGGAUGAUUAGCCAGACUGCGUCUGAGACACGGCCGAGACACUUACGCGAAGCAGCAGCCGAGAAUCUUGCGCGAUGGGGCAAAGCCGGAUCCAGCAAAGCCGCGUGAAGCAUGAAGGAGCGCGGGUUGUAGACUGAUUAUGUACGUAACGAAAAGCAUUCUUUUAAGACAGGAGGGUAAUGACGGUACCGGACUAAUAAGCACCGGCUAACUACGUG